This 423-nucleotide unclassified non-coding RNA is filed under the name Hevea brasiliensis (rubber tree). Lineage: Eukaryota; Viridiplantae; Streptophyta; Magnoliopsida; Malpighiales; Euphorbiaceae. The record is from RNAcentral.
GGACCUCUCGAGGCUCCUACCCAUCUGCAACACCCACCGAUAACCAUCACAGCACGAUGCCUUCGCGUUCAUACGCAAACCUCCUCGAUCUCAGUAACUCUGAUUUUUCUCUCAUCUCCCCCGUCCGCUCCCCGCGCCUCCCCCGCAUCAUGACCGUCCCCGGCAUCCUCUCCGAUGACACAUCCCCGCUGUCCCCAUCACCCGCUCCGCGUGACUGCCGCAUCAUCGUCUCCCACCGCCUCCCUCUCCUCGCCGUCGCCGACUCCGCCGCUCCCUUUGGCCUCCGCUUCUCCUCCGAUCCCGACGCCCUCUCCCUCCAGCUCCGCUCCGGCCUCCCCCCGGACGCCGAAGUCCUCCACGUCGGCGUCCUCCCCUCCUCCGCCUCCAUCAACCCAUCCGAUCAAGACGCGCUCGCAUCGCACC